AGUCCUCACUUUCUCAAAUGAUCUAUAAAGGAAAGCUUAAAAGGAGAAGUCUUUUUUUGUAAAGUAGGCUCUAGAUUAUCCACAGUGCUUCUUUAUUAGUUUAGCUUAUCGAAACGUAUCUGAGGGAGCCUUAAGCUAUGAAGAUCACUCUUUUGUGAAAGUUUUGAUUUUGGUGUUCAGAUCUACAUGUGAUGGUUUUCCAUGCAAGAUUAGUAGCAGCCAGUGGAUUGUCAAUCAUAAACACAUUGCAUCUUUACAUGUAUGCUAUGUUCGGGGCAUAUUUAGAACAAAUUUCAGUACUGAACUCUGAUAUGGUCAAAUGUACUGAAUAUUAGGAUUUUUUUUCCCUUGCAUAUGUAUGACAAUAUCCAGUAUGUUUGAAGUUUGUGAAAUUA
This 395-nucleotide unclassified non-coding RNA is filed under the name Hevea brasiliensis (rubber tree). Lineage: Eukaryota; Viridiplantae; Streptophyta; Magnoliopsida; Malpighiales; Euphorbiaceae. The record is from RNAcentral.